This 179-nucleotide non-coding RNA is filed under the name Roseobacter denitrificans OCh 114. Its description in RNAcentral is "Ruegeria cis52 sRNA". It matches the Rfam family "Ruegeria cis52 sRNA". From Rfam's summary of the family: Cis-encoded. The record is from Rfam by way of RNAcentral. Lineage: Bacteria; Pseudomonadati; Pseudomonadota; Alphaproteobacteria; Rhodobacterales; Roseobacteraceae.
UGCGCAACGCGUGUUUCAAGACAAUGUCGGAAAACUUGACACCCUUGAGCCGGGCCGUGCGGAUGUAUUGCGCGGUCAUCACCUCGGUCAUGGACGCCCGCGUCAUCCGUGCGAUGUAGCCCAUGCCAUAGAGGGAAAUGGUCAGUACCGGCAGGGUGAAAUUCUCAAAUGUGGCGUUC